AUGUCAUGAUAAGGGCACUUUCGUAAUAAAUUAUUGAAUCGGUCCCAUGCCUCAUAUAAAAAUUCUUCAUCAAAGUGCUAAAAUGAAGUGAUUUAUUUUAGAUCU
Molecule: non-coding RNA, 105 nt
Organism: Gossypium hirsutum (cotton)
Lineage: Eukaryota; Viridiplantae; Streptophyta; Magnoliopsida; Malvales; Malvaceae
Source: Rfam